RNAcentral lists this ribosomal RNA (230 nucleotides) under uncultured bacterium. RNAcentral describes it as "partial 16S ribosomal RNA". It matches the Rfam family "Bacterial small subunit ribosomal RNA", at positions 562 to 791 of the family's 1533-position model. The record is from RNAcentral.
AAAGGGCGCGUAGGCGGCGUUUUAAGUCGGGGGUGAAAGCCUGUGGCUCAACCACAGAAUGGCCUUCGAUACUGGGACGCUUGAGUAUGGUAGAGGUUGGUGGAACUGCGAGUGUAGAGGUGAAAUUCGUAGAUAUUCGCAAGAACACCGGUGGCGAAGGCGGCCAACUGGACCAUUACUGACGCUGAGGCGCGAAAGCGUGGGGAGCAAACAGGAUUAGAUACCCGUGU